AAGGGCGGAGGAUAUAAGAAAAACAACAAAGGUGGAAGAUGUCAUAUUAAAAACAAAAACCCUGAAAUGGAGGUGGGUAGGCCACAUGCUCAGAGACACUGGAGAUAAAUGGACGAGGGAUGUGUCCCUGUGGACCCCUCGAUUUCACACCAGAAGAAAGAGAGGAAGACAAAGGAAGCGAUGGUCAGACGAGAUCAGAAGGGUUGCAGGCCCAUUAUGGCAGAGGACUGCAUUGUCCCGAGAGAAGUGGAAGGAGUUGGAGGAGGCCUUUGUAUCCCAAAGACACGCGGAUAUACGUUAGCAUGUACCCUUUUUGUAAUAUUGUCGAUCAACAUAAAUUGUAAAAAACAUUGUUAACUAUAUCCGCAAUAAAGGUUUAAUAAUAAAAUACAUAAAAAGUAACUUUUGACUG
Melitaea cinxia (Glanville fritillary) is the source of this 412-nucleotide long non-coding RNA. RefSeq lists it as uncharacterized. NCBI's taxonomy places the organism in Eukaryota, Metazoa, Arthropoda, Insecta, Lepidoptera, Nymphalidae. The transcript is spliced from 3 exons. The record is from RefSeq and is a predicted model, not a curated record.